UGCUGCAAAAACUCUCAAAUGUAUCCUACUAUUGAUGAUAUACCAAUAUUACGAUUAUACCCUAAAUAUUAAACUAUAACCCUUAUAUAUAUACAUAUAGGAUAGGACUGCUAUACUCUUAUGAAAUGUGACAUCCAAAUAAUCCCACAUCGGAUGGGAAUGAGGUUGUCAUUGGGUUUAUAAGAGACUUAGACACUAGUAAUAAUAACUGGACUUAAGCAUUUUGGGCUGUGGUUGGGCCCAACGAGUUAUUAUUGCUAAUGGGCUGAGUCGUUAUAUUUAGUAUCAGAGCCGGUUCACCAGCUGGACAUGUGUGGCGAGUCUCGGCUGAGCCAGGGUCUGGAUGACGGGCUAGUGAGAUAAGUCUCACAUUGCCUGGUGAUCUUGGGUUGUAUGUGUGAUUGGACUGACGAGGACGUCAGGGCCUUAACGGAUAGACACUAGUAAUAAUAACUGGGCUUAAGUAUUUUGGACUGUGGUUGGGCCCAACGAGUUAUUAUUGCUAGUGGGCUGGGUCGUUACAUGAGUAUAAAACCUUUUAUAAUUUUCGACUGUUGGAUAAAAGGAUGUGUGGUUAUGAUGAUAGUAGUCUCCCAAGAUUGAGUGGAUGGUUGGUUAAAUAGUAUAAUUUAACGGAUAAAAACGAUCAAAAAAUAUCUAACGGUAGAAAAUUCGAUAAUAUCAAAAACUUGAUACCAUCGAUAGCAUAAUAGCCAGACUCUAUAUACAUACGCCAGUUCAUCAUCAAUAUAAGAUAAUACUAAAAAAAAAGGUACUCAUGCAUAUCUUU
This 790-nucleotide long non-coding RNA is filed under the name Ananas comosus (pineapple). RNAcentral's name for it is "long non-coding RNA (ACOM_LNC031151)". The record is from RNAcentral. Lineage: Eukaryota; Viridiplantae; Streptophyta; Magnoliopsida; Poales; Bromeliaceae.